RNAcentral lists this transfer RNA (99 nucleotides) under Sclerotinia sclerotiorum 1980 UF-70. It matches the Rfam family "tRNA". From Rfam's summary of the family: Transfer RNA (tRNA) molecules are approximately 80 nucleotides in length. Their secondary structure includes four short double-helical elements and three loops (D, anti-codon, and T loops). Lineage: Eukaryota; Fungi; Ascomycota; Leotiomycetes; Helotiales; Sclerotiniaceae. The record is from Rfam by way of RNAcentral.
UCCGGCAUGGUGUAGUGGCUAGCAUUUCCGCCUCUCAUGCGAAGCCUCACAGUUUCGAUCAAGUCGCGGGAGACCGGGGUUCAAUUCCCCGUACCGGAA